RNAcentral lists this ribosomal RNA (433 nucleotides) under uncultured bacterium. RNAcentral describes it as "partial 16S ribosomal RNA". It matches the Rfam family "Bacterial small subunit ribosomal RNA", at positions 29 to 507 of the family's 1533-position model. The record is from RNAcentral.
AACGAACGCUGGCGGCAUGCCUAACACAUGCAAGUCGAACGAGACCUUCGGGUCUAGUGGCGCAUGGGGGCGUAACAGGUGGGAAUCGGCCCUUUGCUUCGGAAUAACAGUUAGAAAUGACUGCUAAUACCGGAUGAGGUCGAAAGACCAAAGAUUUAUCGGCAAAGGAUGAGCCCGCGUAGGAUUAGGUGGUUGGUGGGGUAAACGCUUACCAAGCCGACGAUCCUUAGCUGGUCUGAGAGGAUGAUCAGCCACACUGGGACUGGGACACGGCCCAGACUCCUACGGGAUGCAGCAGUGCGGAAUAUUGCACAAUGGGGGAAAGCCUGAACCAGCAAUGCCGCGUAAGUGCUGAAGGCCGUAGGGUUGUAAAGCUCUUUUACCAGGGAUGAUAAUGACAGUACCUGGAGAAUAAGCUCCGGCUAACUCCGUG